This is a long non-coding RNA of Stegodyphus dumicola, 889 nucleotides long. Lineage: Eukaryota; Metazoa; Arthropoda; Arachnida; Araneae; Eresidae. The record is from RefSeq and is a predicted model, not a curated record.
UUGUUUUAGGAAUGACACGUAAGAUUCUACCCUGAAGUGAUCAAAGUUUGCUAAAAGGAUAAUUCGGUACAAGGCAAUUCCGGAAAUUGGAGAAAAAAAACUUUAUUUGAAGCCUUAUUAUCUGAUUGCUAUUCUAUGCUGGGACUGUAUAUGUAUUCAUCGUAACAGAGACCUGACGCAGAGAUAGAUUGGAAAUAUAGGAUCUCUGACAUGAGAAAUACGUUAUCCAGACCUCAUAUAAUCAUGAUUAUCAAGCUCCUGAUUUAAAUAUGAAGGCAGUAAAAGUGCAUAGUAAAGCUAGAAUCCAUAUAAUAAAUAUUUCAAACAGAAAUUACAAAUAUUAUUGAAACAACACUCAAGAAAUGACUUUGGCAACUUUGGAAGCAAUGAUUGUGAAAUUACGCUCUAAUUAAAGGUAAACUGCAAUCACUAGCACUGUAGCUUGUUAUUAUGUAUCAGCUCUAGAUAUUUUAAUAUAUUACUUCUAGAUGAAUGUUAAAAAUAUUUCUGAAGAACUACGAAACGCAUAACUGAAUUCUGCCACUCUUUAAAUUUAACCUGAAAACAGAAAUUUAGUAUUGAAAAGUGUAAUUAAAAAUUCAUUAUGACCUGAUGUUCAUAAAAUGUCAUGUGUUUGUGCAUCAGAUUGUAGAUCGAAGUACACUUAACAUAGGGAAGAAGGGAUGAGUUUUGAAAUACCGUUCGUACAUUCACUUAUUCCAGCUCUGAAAGUCAAUUAUUCAGGAGACAUGCCUUAUGCUUACAUCACAUUAAAUAUGAAGCUAAGAUCCUGAAGAAAAGAGAUAAAUAAUAACUUGUUUUGUGAGAAGUCAUAAAGGUCUUUUGUAAUCCAAAAACGCACAUAAAAAAAAAAAAAAAAAAAAAAAAA